GACAAGAACACGUGACUAUUCAGGUUCAACACCAGGUGUCACAAAUGCAACUAAUACACCAGAUAACAUCUACACAAAUGGUUCAACAACCCCCAUCAACUAUACAGAUUGUAG
Long non-coding RNA from Haliotis rufescens (red abalone), 114 nucleotides. RefSeq lists it as uncharacterized. Lineage: Eukaryota; Metazoa; Mollusca; Gastropoda; Lepetellida; Haliotidae. The transcript has 3 exons. The record is from RefSeq and is a predicted model, not a curated record.